RNAcentral lists this ribosomal RNA (772 nucleotides) under uncultured bacterium. RNAcentral's name for it is "bacterial SSU rRNA". It matches the Rfam family "Bacterial small subunit ribosomal RNA", at positions 8 to 824 of the family's 1533-position model. The record is from RNAcentral.
AGAGUUUGAUCAUGGCUCAGAACGAACGCUGGCGGCAGGCUUAACACAUGCAAGUCGAACGCUCGUAGCAAUACGGGAGUGGCAGACGGGUGAGUAACGCGUGGGAACAUACCCUCCGGUUCGGAAUAACUCAGGGAAACUUGAGCUAAUACCGGAUACGGCUGAGAGGCGAAAGAUUUAUCGCCGGAGGAUUGGCCCGCGUCCGAUUAGCUAGCUGGUGAGGUAACGGCUCACCAAGGCGACGAUCGGUAGCUGGUCUGAGAGGAUGAUCAGCCACAUUGGGACUGAGACACGGCCCAAACUCCUACGGGAGGCAGCAGUGGGGAAUAUUGGACAAUGGGCGCAAGCCUGAUCCAGCCAUGCCGCGUGAGUGAUGACGGCCUUAGGGUUGUAAAGCUCUUUCGCUCGGGACGAUAAUGACGGUACCGAGAUAAGAAGCCCCGGCUAACUUCGUGCCAGCAGCCGCGGUAAUACGAAGGGGGCUAGCGUUGUUCGGAAUUACUGGGCGUAAAGCGCGUGUAGGCGGGCUUUUAAGUCAGGGGUGAAAUGCCAAGGCUCAACCUUGGAACUGCCUUUGAUACUGGAAGUCUUGAGUCCGGGAGAGGUGAGUGGAACUGCGAGUGUAGAGGUGAAAUUCGUAGAUAUUCGCAAGAACACCGGUGGCGAAGGCGGCUCACUGGCCCGGAGCUGACGCUGAGACGCGAAUGCGUGGGGAGCAAACAGGAUUAGAUACCCUGGUAGUCCACGCUGUAAACGAUGGAUGCUAGCCGUU